GGUGGGGCUGGUCUGUGCGCCAGACUGGGCCCCGUGCCACCCCUGUGCACUGGGAUGGGGCCCUGGGACCCCAUGCUGUCUCUACCUGACUGGAGCCUAAUCCCAGCCCAUUAGGACAGUGUGGCACUCUGGGCAUGUGGGAGCCAGGCAGAGGCAGUACAGGGCCCUGGGACCCUAUCCUGACUGGGCAAAGGAGAUGCAGAUGCCCACACUGCCUUGAUCCAGCUGGGUUUGUCUUUCAGGGACUCUGCACUGUCCCUGCCUGGCUGGGAUUGAGCUCUGGGGCCACUAUGCUGUGUUUACCUACCCGGGAUCAGGCCCCCCAACUACCUCUGCCCAGCCAGGAUUAGGCUCCAGGGCCCUGCGCUGCCUCUGCCUAGCAGGGAUCAGGCCCCACGCACCUGAUCUAGUGCGCAGGGCCAUGACCAGCAGGGCUCCUCACAGAUCCGUGGAGAGCCCUGUGGGCCAAAUUGUGGCUCCAAGGGCUUGAUCUGGCCUUUGGGCCAGGGGUUGCACUCCCUGGCCUAAGCUGCUGCUGCUUCUUUGUACUAGCUCAUGCUCUGAAAGAGUCUCUGAAGAGAGGAGAACCUCACCAGGAGAUGCAGGGGACUCGCAGGUACGGAAACCAUACAACCAGUUCCACUGGGUUCAUUGUGGUGCCUGCUUAGGUCAGAUUUGACAUUUCUGCUUGCUUGUUAUGUGCUGCUGUGCUUGGAAAUGCCUUAUCCCAAGUGCAAUAUUUCAUACAUAUUUUUGUAAUUCAUUCAAAACCUUUGCAGUUGUGGCAAGUAGCCAGCUAGAUAGAUGUGUUUAGUCCAAAAAUAAGUGUUUGUAGAUUAUAAAUAGUUCUUGUGCACACAGGGAAAGUAUUCCAGAGAAACAUGUUGGACUCAUUGCCUGAAAGAAGAGUGAGUAAGUAAAGGCAGCAUAGGCCAACUCUAACUAUGUUCCAAGACAUGCACUGCUAGGUUUCUUUGAUAGUUUCCUCUCUUAGUCAGUAAAAAAUGACUUAUAAUCAUGACUGCCCCAAUGUUGACUCUUUUUCUGUCAUGCAGAGGAGUAUUUUAAAUGAAGAAACUGAGUCAACUUUUUGUGAGGUUUAUUUGUACAGUUUCAUAGGGGGAAAAAAUCUUUCCCCAGACAUCCAGUGUCUCUUUUUUGACUUAAUUUUGUUGCAUCAUUGACCUGCUGAAAGGGGGAAGGCCAUCACAAGUGGUAAGGGGUGACAUUUUCCAGCUGCAAAGGGAUGGAAAGACUGAGGUCCAAAUCCUCCAUUUAGGCAUCUAAUUCCUAUGUAAGUGCCUAAAUACCAUUGGUUUCUGUGGGUGUUAAGCCUGGGAGUUAACCUUUGAGGAUCUAUGUCUAAGACUUGUUCACAUAUACAUAGAAACAUGGAACUAGACUUGGAUCUCAUAAGUCAUAUUUGGCAAAUGCCACCCAAUGUUUGCUCCCACUGCCCAGGAAUUAGUUGCGUCUGAAAGUGGGGACACAGAGUACCUUUAUCCUUUAGCACACCUGCUGGUAUCAAGGACCUGCACAUUGGCUUAGGUGGCAUAGUCCAGCAUAAAUUUUAACAGGUCUAUGUCUUAGGUGCAAUAUCUUUUGUGGUAAUCUUAUAAUUACUAUAUAAACCUUGCAAGAGGCAAGGAUAUUUUAUGGUGAUAUCUUUUAUUGGACCAGCUGUGUAGUUGGCUUAAAGUUAGACAAGCUUUUGAAUGCAAGAUGUUCUUCCUCAGGUCACUUUUGAGGAUCUGUGUCUAAGAGACUUGUGACCUGAGGAAGAGUGUCUUGCACUAGAAAGCUUAUCCUAAUUACAAAGAGAAGGACCUCUUGGAGGUGGGGGCACCACAGAUCACCAGGAAAGCCAGGGAAUGAGAAGAUCCAGGUUUUCAAAGCCAGGGGCUCCUUUUGAAGCCAUGUUAGGACCAUCUACAGGGGGUCCUUUCAGGAGAGGAAGACGGAAUAAAGUUGCUUUUUGGAGAAUCCCAAGGAACUACUUUCUUGUUCCCCUUGAAAGGGGUGUUUGAUUCUGCAUGACAGGUGGGGCCUGCUUAAAGCAACCCUCACUCAGGACAGCCCCAUAGAAGCAGUGGAGAUUAUAACAGGCUCACUCAUGCACACACACUCACUCUAGGCACGCAGACAGUACAUUACUUGGUGACCAUUAAAAGUUGUUCUAGGAAUUGUGUGCAGUGUUGUGGGCGAGCCCAGCUUUAACAGGCAUAAAGCAAAAUCAGUGUUUGCGCAAAUAAAUUAAUCUUACGGAUAGAGAGCCCACUUUAAGUUUCUUCAUACAAAGCACCCUAAUCCUUUGUUGUGGCCUCCUAAUCAGCCUCACUGUAACAGAUAGUGGUAUCGCAAACUGGGGAUUAUGAUACUUUCAGCUCUGCCUGAGAGCAGAUGGAAAUUAACUGUUUGAAGGGAAAGGUCCUUCUCAAAGGCAAGCUUUUGUAUUUAUCUUAACAACCCUAUCUUAACAAUUAGCACAUCAAUUAAUGGCUUUUUCAAAGUGUGUUUUUGUUUAUUUUGAUAUGAAGAAAACCUUUCCCAGGGUCUUCGUGUACUCAAAAAAACCCCUAACGAAAUCAUUGCCUCAAAAUACCAUUUGAAAUCUCCUUGUUCACCACUGAUUAUUGAAAAUCAGCAUGUUUUGAGCUCAGAAAGAUUUUUUUCUUAAAUCUGUAACUAAUUUUCUCUUGCUAAAAAUUCCUUUAACCAACAUUUUUAAGUUUUUCUUGCCCUCAAUCAGAUAUUUCAGGAAUUUAGGCUGGAGAGAAAACAAAGGUCUUCAAAUAGAUUAAAUGGAUUACAUUGCUUUUUUCAUAAAGGCAAAAGUUAAAGUACAUGAACUACAUUUACUACUGAAUCUACAGGGUGGCAGAGAAAUUCAUUUUUGCAGAAUGAAAGUUUGAUAGUUACUAAUUUUCAGGUGAUUUAUAACUGGUUUAUGUUUGUAGGGGUCCAUUGUUACAGAAAACAGUCUCUUGUUUCUGAGAGAAUCAACAGGCUUUAAUGGGAAUGGACUCUUUGACUAAGGUAGUUUACAAUCCCCUUCCCUUCUGACCCCUUGCUUUGAGAUUUGAUUGAAUGCUGAGAGUGUUUUUGCAAGGAGUGGAGAGCAAAUAAAUAAGACAUAAUUGAGCUGUCACAAGUUGUAGAGUUAUGGCUGUAUUUUGCCCUGGCACUGGUCUUAUGCUAGAUUAAUUCCAAUAAAAUGGGGUGAGUGAGCAGAAUCCAGCUCAUCUCUAUGAAGACAGACAUGUUUUACUGAAGGUCAGACUCUGUUAGCUCCAGUAACAGUUGACUUAUUCAUAAUGCAAACAGAAAAACAUUUGCACACUAAUAAACUGGCAAGGCAGUGUGUAGUGUGGAGAUGCAAAGCACUUACUAAUACUAAUACUAUUCCCUUCAUUGUGAAUGUACUGCACAGGCAGGUUAAGCUGUGACUUCUGCAAUCACCCUGUGUUCUCAAAUACUUCAAACUUUCUCAAUUAAUCUGUUUUUCAGCCUAAAUAUCUCAGGUUUAGGUUUUUCAAUGUGGAUAAAAUCUUUUUGCCCAUUUUUUGAAUUGCAUGAGAAAUAUUAUUUUUUUUAAGUAGAUUUAGAAGCUUUCCUGGUUUGAACCAUCCUAAGGAAGAAAGAUAACAGACAGAACCGUGGAAGAGGGUCGACCAUGGACAGAUGCAGAAAGUUUGCAAGUGGGCUGCAGGAGCGGCAACCUGCACGUCAGGGGUGGCUGCAGCCUGGUUCCCAGCAUUUACCCUCUUUCUGGGCAGACCAGACCACAGGAGCAGCAGCAGGGACUUUCUAAGUCCUUCAGGCAGUGGCUGUGAUGGGCUCUAGAAGCAUGCUAGACGUUCUUCAUUCAACAUGUAAUGCAUCUUUGCCCAAAGAUACCUAGCAUAUGGGUGUGAAAUGAUCCCCGUCAUAUUUACUUUCAUCAUAUUUACUUUAUCUUCACCCACUAUUAAAGGAUCUUUAAUGAAAGUGUUGCCGAUAAAAGACAGAAAUAAUUUUCCU
Molecule: long non-coding RNA, 4020 nt
Organism: Gavialis gangeticus (Gharial)
Lineage: Eukaryota; Metazoa; Chordata; Crocodylia; Gavialidae
Exons: 2
Source: RefSeq, a predicted model, not a curated record